RNAcentral lists this ribosomal RNA (446 nucleotides) under uncultured bacterium. RNAcentral's name for it is "partial 16S ribosomal RNA". It matches the Rfam family "Bacterial small subunit ribosomal RNA", at positions 338 to 795 of the family's 1533-position model. The record is from RNAcentral.
CCUACGGGAGGCUGCAGUCGAGAAUCAUUCACCCUGGGGGAAACCCUGAUGGUGCGACGCCGCGUGGGGGAAUGAAGGUCUUCGGAUUGUAAACCCCUGUCAUGUGGGAGCAAAUUAAAAAGAUAGUACCACAAGAGGAAGAGAUGGCUAACUCUGUGCCAGCAGCCGCGGUAAUACAGAGGUCUCAAGCGUUGUUCGGAAUCACUGGGCGUAAAGGGUGCGUAGGCUGUUUCGUAAGUCGUGUGUGAAAGGCGCGGGCUCAACCCGCGGACGGCACAUGAUACUGCGAGACUAGAGUAAUGGAGGGGGAACCGGAAUUCUCGGUGUAGCAGUGAAAUGCGUAGAUAUCGAGAAGAACACUCGUGGCGAAGGCGGGUUCCUGGACAUUAACUGACGCUGAGGCACGAAGGCCAGGGGAGCGAAAGGGAUUAGAUACCCGUGUAGUC